RNAcentral lists this ribosomal RNA (497 nucleotides) under uncultured bacterium. Its description in RNAcentral is "partial 16S ribosomal RNA". It matches the Rfam family "Bacterial small subunit ribosomal RNA", at positions 28 to 507 of the family's 1533-position model. The record is from RNAcentral.
GAUGAACGCUGGCGGCGUGCCUAAUACAUGCAAGUCGAGCGAACGGACGAGAAGCUUGCUUCUCUGAUGUUAGCGGCGGACGGGUGAGUAACACGUGGAUAACCUACCUAUAAGACUGGGAUAACUUCGGGAAACCGUAGCUAAUACCGGAUAAUAUUUUUAACCGCAUGGUUCAAAAGUGAAAGACGGUCUUGCUGUCACUUAUAGAUGGAUCCGCGCUGCAUUAGCUAGUUGGUAAGGUAACGGCUUACCAAGGCAACGAUGCAUAGCCGACCUGAGAGGGUGAUCGGCCACACUGGACCUGAGACACGGUCCAGACUCCUACGGGAGGCAGCAGUAGGGAAUCUUCCGCAAUGGGAGAAAGCCUGACGGAGCAACGCCGCGUGAGUGAUGAAGGUCUUCGGAUCGUAAAACUCUGUUAUUAGGAAAGAACAUAUGUGUAAGUAACUGUGAACAUCUUGACGGUACCUAAUCAGAAAGCCACGGCUAACUACGUG